Molecule: ribosomal RNA, 253 nt
Filed under: uncultured bacterium
Lineage: Bacteria
Description: partial 16S ribosomal RNA
Rfam family: Bacterial small subunit ribosomal RNA
Source: RNAcentral
UACGUAGGGCGCAAGCGUUGUCCGGAAUUAUUGGGCGUAAAGGGCGUGUAGGCGGCCUCGUAAGUCUGAUGUGAAAGCCCCGGGCUCAACCUGGGAAGUGCAUUGGAAACUGCGAGACUUGAGUACGGGAGAGGGCAGUGGAAUUCCUAGUGUAGGAGUGAAAUCCGUAGAUAUUAGGAGGAACACCGGUGGCGAAGGCGGCUGCCUGGACCGAUACUGACGCUGAGACGCGAAAGCGUGGGGAGCAAACAGG